CAGCACUCGAUACUAACCGAGCUAUCUACAUCCUAGCCUUGUGUCAGAGGCUUGCGAUGUGUUGUGAUAGCUGGGUUUAAGAAGUGCAAUAUUAAAACAGCCAUGAGUCUUUUAAGCCCAGUGUGUAAAGAAACACUCUGAGUUAUAACUCAAAGGCACAACU
Molecule: small nucleolar RNA, 163 nt
Filed under: Dasypus novemcinctus (nine-banded armadillo)
Lineage: Eukaryota; Metazoa; Chordata; Mammalia; Cingulata; Dasypodidae
Description: Small Cajal body specific RNA 1 (ENSDNOG00000041624.1)
Rfam family: Small Cajal body specific RNA 1
About the family: scaRNAs are a specific class of small nuclear RNAs which localise to the Cajal bodies and guide the modification of RNA polymerase II transcribed spliceosomal RNAs U1, U2, U4, U5 and U12. ACA35 belong to the H/ACA box class of guide RNAs as it has the predicted hairpin-hinge-hairpin-tail structure, conserved H/ACA-box motifs and is found associated with GAR1.
Source: RNAcentral